GGAGAGUGCCUUCGGGAGCCGCGAGACAGGUGCUGCAUGGCUGUCGUCAGCUCGUGUCGUGACGAUGUUGGGUUAAGUCCCGCAACGAGCGCAACCCCUAUCCCUAGUUGCCAUCAUUAAGUUGGGCACUCUAAGGAAACUGCCGGUGUCAAACCGGAGGAAGUGGGGAUGACGUCAAGUCCUCAUGGCCCUUAUGACCAGGGCUACACACGUGCUACAAUGGCGACUACAGAGGGUUAAUCCUUAAAAGUCGUCUCAGUUCGGAUUGUCCUCUGCAACUCGAGGGCAUGAAGUUGGAAUCGCUAGUAAUCGCGGAUCAGCAUGCCGCGGUCGAAUACGUUCCCGGGCCUU
This 351-nucleotide ribosomal RNA is filed under the name uncultured Brevundimonas sp. RNAcentral describes it as "bacterial SSU rRNA". It matches the Rfam family "Bacterial small subunit ribosomal RNA", at positions 1009 to 1382 of the family's 1533-position model. Lineage: Bacteria; Pseudomonadati; Pseudomonadota; Alphaproteobacteria; Caulobacterales; Caulobacteraceae. The record is from RNAcentral.